Long non-coding RNA from Gallus gallus (chicken), 764 nucleotides. RefSeq lists it as uncharacterized. NCBI's taxonomy places the organism in Eukaryota, Metazoa, Chordata, Aves, Galliformes, Phasianidae. The record is from RefSeq and is a predicted model, not a curated record. The transcript has 3 exons.
UUCUACAGGGGCAUGAGAACAUACAUAGAGAACUUAGUAAACUGUUUCAAUGAAGAACUACGCGUGUUUUACUUCCCUUCGCUGCCACCCAUUUCUUUAAGAUGAUGAACCUGCAUUCUCUCAAGGCAAAAGUGAGAUUUCUUAUUUGGAAUUGAUGAUGAGAGACGACCAGUUAUAAGUCAAUUCUAUCAGAAACUUGAGUGUCACAGGAAACAAAGGAGGAACAGACCACCCCUCACAGUAACCUAAAAUGAUUAAGCUGAAAUACAUAACUGAGCUCGAAUCUGCUGUACGUGCACUUCUCCAGCAGCGAGCCGUGUCGGUACUGAAGCGAAGGCAAGAUGAGCUGGAAACGGAAUCUACUUAUAUGCAGCACCUGACAACUGGGAAUGGCAAACCAAGUAAUGAUGGACUGGAGAGUGAUGAAAAGAUGAAGCUUCUGAAAACGUGUGAGCAUCAAAGAUAUGUGUAAUUACAUCUAACUGUAGUAUGUGUGUAUCUGCUUCCUGUUACUUACACACGGAUGAAGGUAAAUCCUUGCAGUUACUAAGUAAGAUGAUACACACACGUGCAAAAAUGCCUUUCCUUUCCAAAGCUCAAGGUACAUGGAAACCAUCUGUUUGUUAAUGGGGGGUUUUCUUCGUGCUGAUUGGAAUCUGAAUGUUAAUAGGUACUACUAAUUUAACGUAAGUUGAAGUGAGGCUGUUCACGAAACUGAAAGUAGAUUUUUCCCUGCUGUUGGAAUAAAUGAUAUUGUGAUUAUA